Long non-coding RNA from Mytilus trossulus (common blue mussel), 120 nucleotides. RefSeq lists it as uncharacterized. The record is from RefSeq and is a predicted model, not a curated record. The transcript is spliced from 3 exons. NCBI's taxonomy places the organism in Eukaryota, Metazoa, Mollusca, Bivalvia, Mytilida, Mytilidae.
UGAAAAUGGUGACAAAUAUGAAGAAGAAGAGGCUUUCUUUUGCAAUGGAGAGGAAUGUUUUGAAACUGAAGAUGAAUGUGGUUCAUCGGACGUCUAUAUGGAAGACGAUGAUGAUGAUGA